GACAGAGGGUGCAAACGUUGUUCGGAAUUACUGGGCGUAAAGGGCUCGUAGGCGGCCAACUAAGUCAUACGUGAAAUCCCCCGGCUUAACCGGGGAACUGCGUCUGAUACUGGAUGGCUUGAGUUCGGGAGAGGGAUGCGGAAUUCCAGGUGUAGCGGUGAAAUGCGUAGAUAUCUGGAGGAACACCGGUGGCGAAGGCGGCAUCCUGGACCGAUACUGACGCUGAGGAGCGAAAGCCAGGGGAGCAAACGGG
RNAcentral lists this ribosomal RNA (253 nucleotides) under uncultured bacterium. RNAcentral's name for it is "partial 16S ribosomal RNA". It matches the Rfam family "Bacterial small subunit ribosomal RNA", at positions 524 to 776 of the family's 1533-position model. The record is from RNAcentral.